UUAAAUUCUAUGAAGGAAAGAGUAGGUAUUGGGUUAGUAUCUAAAGCGAAUGAGGGAUGGUGGAAGCCUUAUGAGAAAAACAAUGCUGAAUGACAUUCCAGAGAAGUUUAUCUGAACGCUAUUUUGGUUAAUAGGAUAAAACGUAUUCCUACGUUACAGGAUUAGAGAUGACUUUAAUUUUUAAUUGAAGUUAAGCAGGAUGGUACCGUGAAGUUUAUACUCUCACUCAUGCACAAUGAGUGAGAGUUUUUUAAUUUUCAUAAUGUGCUGCUUAAAAUUUAAUUAUAUAUUAAGGUUAAUUAGGGUGGUACCGCGAAUUUUUCGUCCCUUGA
RNAcentral lists this non-coding RNA (332 nucleotides) under Clostridium argentinense. Its description in RNAcentral is "T-box sequence". It matches the Rfam family "T-box leader". Rfam says of the family: Uncharged tRNA acts as the effector for transcription antitermination of genes in the T-box leader family. T-boxes are found upstream of many aminoacyl-tRNA synthetase genes and some amino acid biosynthetic genes usually in Gram-positive bacteria. The anticodon of a specific tRNA base pairs to a specifier sequence within the T-box motif, and the NCCA acceptor tail of the tRNA base pairs to a conserved bulge in the T-box antiterminator hairpin. Lineage: Bacteria; Bacillati; Bacillota; Clostridia; Eubacteriales; Clostridiaceae. The record is from RNAcentral.